GCUGGGCAUGGUGGCGCAUGCCUGUAAUCCCAGCUACUUGGGAGGCUGAGGCAGGAGAAUUGCUUGAACCCAGGAGGCGGAGGUUGCAGUGAGCCAAGAUCAAGCCACUGCACUCCAGCCUGGGUGAUAGAGCGAGUCGCCGUCUCAA
RNAcentral lists this small RNA (148 nucleotides) under Pongo abelii (Sumatran orangutan). RNAcentral describes it as "Metazoan signal recognition particle RNA (ENSPPYG00000031220.1)". The record is from Rfam by way of RNAcentral. Lineage: Eukaryota; Metazoa; Chordata; Mammalia; Primates; Hominidae.